Molecule: transfer RNA, 85 nt
Filed under: Bacteroidota bacterium
Lineage: Bacteria; Pseudomonadati; Bacteroidota
Also listed under: 1 other name
Description: tRNA-Ser
Rfam family: tRNA
About the family: Transfer RNA (tRNA) molecules are approximately 80 nucleotides in length. Their secondary structure includes four short double-helical elements and three loops (D, anti-codon, and T loops). Further hydrogen bonds mediate the characteristic L-shaped molecular structure. tRNAs have two regions of fundamental functional importance: the anti-codon, which is responsible for specific mRNA codon recognition, and the 3' end, to which the tRNAs corresponding amino acid is attached (by aminoacyl-tRNA synthetases). tRNAs cope with the degeneracy of the genetic code in two manners: having more than one tRNA (with a specific anti-codon) for a particular amino acid; and 'wobble' base-pairing, i.e. permitting non-standard base-pairing at the 3rd anti-codon position.
Source: RNAcentral
GGAGGGGUGGCAGAGUGGUUGAAUGCACUGGUCUUGAAAACCAGCGUGCCGCAAGGUACCGGGGGUUCGAAUCCCUCCCCCUCCG